Molecule: long non-coding RNA, 459 nt
Organism: Polistes dominula (European paper wasp)
Lineage: Eukaryota; Metazoa; Arthropoda; Insecta; Hymenoptera; Vespidae
Source: RefSeq, a predicted model, not a curated record
GGCUAACAUAUCAGAAGGGGUGAACAGAAGCCCGCGGUUCGAUAUCCCUUCAUUUUAAUUUAUUGAUUCGACCCUUCUCUUAAGGAAUGGAUAUCCAGCUAUAAAAAAUUGAAGAAGAAUAAAAACUAAUUUAAAUUUAAAAAUGGGAUUAGAUAGAUAGUAAUAUCUACGUAUGCAUAUAAUUAUAUAAAACGAGGAAGAAAAUAAGGAAAAUUAAAAUAUAAAAUAAUGAAGAGUAGUAACGAGAGAAGCUGAUAUUAUAUUUCCAUUGGAAUAGAUAAUAUAUGGUAAAAUAGUUAACAUAUUAUUCGAGGUGUCCGCCAAGGACGAUUUUACAUACACCACGUCAGUUUCGAUCUCUUUCCAACGACAAACCUAAACGAAGGGCUCUUUUUGUUCUACAAGGGACAUCAAAUGAGAGAGAGACAACCAUCGAUAAAACGAAUACGAUCUUCGUAC